UUUAACUGAGCGUUCAGUUACUUGACGUAGACCCGAAACCGGGCGACCUACCCAUGAGCAGGAUGAAGCGAAAGUAAAAUUUCGUGGAGGUCCGAACCCACGAGCGUUGAAAAGCUCGGGGAUGACUUGUGGGUAGCGGUGAAAUUCCAAUCGAGCCCGGAGAUAGCUGGUUCUCCCCGAAAUAGCUUUAGGGCUAGCCUCAAGGUGAGAGAUACGGAGGUAGAGCACUGAAUGUCCUAGGGGGUAUUGCACCUACCGAAGACUAUCAAACUCCGAAUGCCGUCAUCUUAUACUUGGGAGUCAGACUGUGGGUGAUAAGAUUCAUAGUCGAAAGGGCAACAGCCCAGAUCGUCAGCUAAGGUCCCUAAAUGUAAGUUAAGUGGUAAAGGAUGUGGGAUUGCACAGACAACCAGGAUGUUGGCUUAGAAGCAGCCACUCAUUCAAAGAGUGCGUAAUAGCUCACUGGUCGAGUGAUCCUGCGCCGAAGAUUUCCGGGGCUAAAACUUACUACCGAAGCUACGGCAUCAGUAAUGAUGGGUAGGGGAGCUUCCCAUACGGGUUGAAGCAUGACCGUAAGGACAUGUGGACAGUAUGGGAGUGAGAAUGUUGGCAUGAGUAGCGAGAUGUGGGUGAGAAUCCCACAGGCCGUAAACCCAAGGUUUCCAGGGGAAGGUUCGUCCGCCCUGGGUUAGUCGGGACCUAAGCUGAGGCCGAAAGGCGUAGGUGAUGGACAACAGGUUGAUAUUCCUGUACUACCGAUAACCGUUUGAGAGAAGGGAUGACACAGUAGGAUAAGCUAAGCACACUGUUGGUUAUGUGUGCCCAAGCAUUGAGGCAGUCAAAGUAGGCAAAUCCGCUUUGAUAAUGCUGGGAUGUGAUGGGGAGCGAAAUUUAGUAGCGAAGUAGCUGAUUUCACACUGUCAAGAAAAGUCUCUAUCGAGGUUAAAGGUACCCGUACCGCAAACCGACACAGGUGGGUGAGGAGAGUAUCCUAAGGCCAGCGAGAGAACUGUUGUUAAGGAACUCGGCAAAAUGACCCCGUAACUUAGGGAUAAGGGGUGCCACCAUUAGGUGGCCGCAGAGAAUAGGCCCAAGCGACUGUUUACCAAAAACAUAGGUUUCUGCUAAGUCGCAAGACGAUGUAUAGGAGCUGACGCCUGCCCGGUGCUGGAAGGUUAAGGGGAUCUGUUAGAGUAAUCGAAGCAGUGAACUUAAGCCCCAGUAAACGGCGGCCGUAACUAUAACGGUCCUAAGGUAGCGAAAUUCCUUGUCGGGUAAGUUCCGACCCGCACGAAAGGCGUAACGAUUUGGGCACUGUCUCAACAACAGACUCGGUGAAAUUGUAAUUCCGGUGAAGAUGCCGGAUACCUGCGACAGGACGGAAAGACCCCAUGGAGCUUUACUGUAGCUUGACAUUGGGUCUUGGUACUACAUGUACAGGAUAGGUGGGAGGCUUUGAAACCAGGACGCCAGUUUUGGCGGAGCCAUCCUUGGGAUACCACCCUUGUAGUACUGGGACUCUAACCAUAGGCCAUGAAUCUGGUCUUGGGACACUGUCAGGUGGGCAGUUUGACUGGGGCGGUCGCCUCCCAAAAGGUAACGGAGGCGCUCAAAGGUUCUCUCAGUACGGUCGGAAAUCGUACGUAGAGUGUAAAGGCAAAAGAGAGCUUGAUUGCAAGACAUACAGGUCGAGCAAGGAUGAAAAUCGGACUUAGUGAUCCGGUGGUUCUGCGUGGAAGGGCCAUCGCUCAACGGAUAAAAGCUACCCUGGGGAUAACAGGCUUAUCUCCCCCAAGAGUCCACAUCGACGGGGAGGUUUGGCACCUCGAUGUCGGCUCAUCACAUCCUGGGGCUGUAGUAGGUCCCAAGGGUUGGGCUGUUCGCCCAUUAAAGUGGUACGCGAGCUGGGUUCAGAACGUCGUGAGACAGUUCGGUCCCUAUCCGUCGCAGGCGUAGGAAAUUUGAGAAGACCUGUCCUUAGUACGAGAGGACCGGGAUGGACGUACCUCUGGUGUACCAGUUGUCCUGCCAAGGGCAUGGCUGGGUAGCUAUGUACGGAAUGGAUAAGCGCUGAAAGCAUCUAAGCGCGAAGCCAACUUCAAGAUAAGAUUUCCCACCGCAAGGGUAAGACCCCAGAAAGACUAUCUGGUUGAUAGGUCGAAGGUGUAAGUGCAGCAAUGUAUUUAGCUUAUCGAUACUAAUAG
Molecule: ribosomal RNA, 2204 nt
Filed under: Clostridioides difficile
Lineage: Bacteria; Bacillati; Bacillota; Clostridia; Peptostreptococcales; Peptostreptococcaceae
Description: partial 23S ribosomal RNA
Rfam family: Bacterial large subunit ribosomal RNA
Source: RNAcentral